UUUCCUACGGGGGGCAGCAGUGGGGAAUAUUGCACAAUGGGGGAAACCCUGAUGCAGCGACGCCGCGUGAGUGAAGAAGUAAUUCGUUAUGUAAAGCUCUAUCAGCAGGGAAGAAAAUGACGGUACCUGAGUAAGAAGCCCCGGCUAACUACGUGCCAGCAGCCGCGGUAAUACGUAGGGGGCAAGCGUUAUCCGGAUUUACUGGGUGUAAAGGUAGCGUAGACGGCAGUGCAAGUCUGGAGUGAAAGGC
Molecule: ribosomal RNA, 250 nt
Filed under: uncultured bacterium
Lineage: Bacteria
Description: partial 16S ribosomal RNA
Rfam family: Bacterial small subunit ribosomal RNA
Source: RNAcentral